RNAcentral lists this small RNA (2455 nucleotides) under Pan troglodytes (chimpanzee). RNAcentral describes it as "retained intron". Lineage: Eukaryota; Metazoa; Chordata; Mammalia; Primates; Hominidae. The record is from RNAcentral.
CUUGGGGUACAUGGAACUGAUUCCAGCAGUGGGACCAGAUUCACCUGGGCCAUCGCAUGCCUGAUUCAUGGGCAGCCUCACUGAGAGCAGUGGCAGAUAGAGUCACCUGCUCCAUUUCAGUGGCUUUUUCCUCUUUGCUCUUUUUUUUCAAUAUUCCUGGUUGAAUUUGUGUAGUGGAAUGAUCAUAUGAUGCAACUACCGUAAUAGAAUUUAUUUGACAAGCUAGUGCAAUUAGUUAUUAAUGAAUGUAAACUUCACAGGAUUAGAAGGGCUAUGUGUUUCACUAUUUUUGUAUCUUUGGGUUCUACAAAAUAUACUAGAGUGUCACAUAAUUCGAGAAGGGAUUUCAGGAACGUGGAUGUUAACUACUAAUAGUUUGAAAAUGAUACUAUCUGGGGGUUUCCUUUUUUUUCCACUUCUCUCCAACAUAUUAAGAAAACUAUUCGGAUAUUAUUUUGCCUUGUGCAGUAGAUUGCUAGUGGUUGUGAAUUGUGUUUUAAUAAGAACCUGUUCUGUUUAUGACUUCAGGAUUUUUUAUUGGUGGACCUUCUAAUAUGAUUAGUUCUGCUAUUUCUGCGGACUUGGGUCGCCAGGAGCUCAUCCAAAGGAGCAGUGAAGCUUUGGCCACUGUCACAGGAAUUGUGGAUGGUUCGGGGAGCAUUGGAGCUGCAGUGGGCCAGUAUUUAGUGUCUCUGAUCCGGGACAAGCUAGGAUGGAUGUGGGUUUUCUACUUUUUCAUUCUCAUGACAAGUUGUACAAUUGUGUUUAUCUCGCCAUUAAUAGUGAGGGAAAUAUUCUCUCUCGUGCUAAGGAGACAGGCUCACAUAUUGAGGGAGUGACUGGUGCCCGUGAGACAGAAAGAACAAUGUCAGCCACAUCAGGACCGCUGGGGCUUCGAGUCUGCCCUAAUUUGGGUUUGUCUAGGAGCUCCAGCCUGAUCUUGGAUUGUCAGGCGUCUCUCAACACUGCCAGGCACCUGAGAUGCUGACCAGCAGUGAAGGCUGCACUAGUUGUCUACACUACAGGAAUUAUUGUUGAUGAUUUUUGCUGUUGUUUCAUGAAUGUGCCGAGUGACUUCUGACUCUGCCAGCAUCUUUGACCUCUGACUCUGCCAGCGUCUUUGUUUGGCCUAUUGAGGUUUAGCAUUUUAACCUUAACUGUUGUUUUGGACUUGAACUUUCUCUAGCCUUGAAAAUGGAGUGAACAGGAGGCAAAGCCACGCGUGGUUUGUGUUGGUGAUAUGUUCCACAAAUGGAAGAGAUCAUUGCAUUUUGCUUUGGUAAUGAGUUUACAGAGAGUGGCUCAUCUUUGAAGCAUCAAAUCCUGAUCAAAUGCUCAAGCUGGACCGAGCUGCAAGCCUGCCUUGGACAAAGAAUCCCUCUGUUCACUGUGGUGGGAAAGAUCACACUACAUGCCUGUUGAUUGGGUCAGUCACUCUGUGUCUGAUCUAAACGUCAUUCAGCCCUAGAAGAAUGAAUAGCUUCAAAUUAUUGUCAACUUGUUCUCUUCCAUCUUCAUUCAAAUUAACUUUGACUCCUGGAAGUAUUGAGUCUUCCUUUCAAGGACCAUAAGGUACAUCAGUUAUCUUGAACAUUCCAACGUGUAACUCACAGCCGAAGCACUCCAUCCCAGAUUUGUUGUCUGGGAACUUUAGGAUCCUCUAGGAAGCUAAUCUGCUUAGUCUAUUUUUAGAGGAUUGAUCUCUGGCACAACCAGCUUCCUGGAGUUACCUCAGCAGAAGACUAGAAUUAGAGAAAAAGGAAAGACCUUUUCUUCUAGUAAGUGUCAAGUACAGAUGCUCUUUGACUUAUGAUGGGGUUAUGUCCCAGUAAACCCAUUGGAAGUCAAAUGCAUUUAAUACCCCUGACUGAACACCACAGCUUAGCCUCGUCCGCCCUAAAUGUACUCAGAACACUUAGAAUUGCCCACAGUUGGGCAGAAUCAUCUAACACAAACUCUAUUUUAUAAUCGAGUGUUGAAUAUAUCAUGUAAUUUAUUUAAUAUUGUACAUUAUGUUGAAAUUGCAACCAUUUCGCACCAUUGUAAAGUCCAAAAAUCAGAAGCUGAGGACUGUCUGUACGUGACAUUGAAUCACAUGAAUGGAUUACUAGAGGGUCUGAGGGGUGUCCGUUCUUUAGAAAAAUGUAGAGUAUAUAUAUCUUCAGGGCUGUGAAUUCCAUACUAGUUAUCAAUAUUUUAAGAUCAUUCUGUAUAUACAUAUUUUAAAUUAUGCAAGCAAACUAGGAGGAGAAUGUGCAAUUUUGAGGGAUACCUAAUUUGCAUUCGGUUAGGGGAUAUUUUUCAACCUCUUGCUUUAUACUCUGAUAUGGGGUGUGUUUAUGAACUUUUUAAUGUUAUUUAAUCAUGCAGAUUUCCAAUCAGUGUAUUGCUCAUUUACUGACAAAAAGGGAAAAUACGAAACACAGAAAGGGAAAAUAAACUGACUUUUAUAAUG